Long non-coding RNA from Gambusia affinis (western mosquitofish), 681 nucleotides. RefSeq lists it as uncharacterized. The record is from RefSeq and is a predicted model, not a curated record. The transcript has 3 exons. Lineage: Eukaryota; Metazoa; Chordata; Actinopteri; Cyprinodontiformes; Poeciliidae.
CACAGACCCGGUCAGACCAACGGGCAUUCCACCCAGAACCGGCCCAAGAUUACUUUGAUUACUAAACAGAAUGUGACUGAGGACCCCCAACGCACAUCUGCAUAAUGUCCACUAUUUAGGAAGUAAUAUUAAUGUUUUGGAGUGACUCACUUAAAACUGAUGAAAAACCUGCAAACGGAGCUAAAGUAGGAUAUACUGCGCAGUAUCUUUAUAUCAUAACCUGAUUAGGUUGCUGGCCAGGAGGCCCUCCAACCACAAAGACUUUGGAAAGGAGAGGUAGAAACACAGCUGGUAAUUAACCCCUUCACUGCAACCCACCAGAUGUGAGUGAAUGUGUCCAUGAGGGCAGCGGGGGCGUGUGACAGUUCAGGGGUUUUAAAGAUCCUUUUUUUUUAUUGAUUAUUGAGGAUUUCUAACAAUCAAUACGGAAUUUUUAAAGAUGAACCAAAAACAAGAUAUUUAAAUGUUUUUCUACAUGGGAUGGUGUUUUUCAGAGAUGCCCGUUUCAUUUCCUGUCAGAAUCUAAAUCCACCAUGGAUAUGAAUAAUUCUGUAAAGAUGCCUUAUAUGGCAGGUAUUGUGUUCUUGGGCUCCUUUUUGUUAGUUUCAGGUUGCUAAGCAGCGGGUUGGCUUGCUGUUGCCUUGGUCCGGCUCUACAUCCACCUGAUAGAAGUGUGUUUCA